CCUACGGGUGGCAGCAGUGGGGAAUAUUGGACAAUGGGGGGAACCCUGAUCCAGCCAUGCCGCGUGUGUGAAGAAGGCCCUCGGGUUGUAAAGCACUUUCAGUGAGGAAGAACGCCUGGUGGUUAAUACCCAUCAGGAAAGACAUCACUCACAGAAGAAGCACCGGCUAACUCCGUGCCAGCAGCCGCGGAAAUACGGAGGGUGCGAGCGUUAAUCGGAAUUACUGGGCGUAAAGCGCGCGUAGGUGGCUUGAUAAGCCGGUUGUGAAAGCCCCGGGCUCAACCUGGGAACGGCAUCCGGAACUGUCAAGCUAGAGUGCAGGAGAGGAAGGUAGAAUUCCCGGUGUAGCGGUGAAAUGCGUAGAGAUCGGGAGGAAUACCAGUGGCGAAGGCGGCCUUCUGGACUGACACUGACACUGAGGUGCGAAAGCGUGGGUAGCAAACAGGAUUAGAUACCCCUGUAGUC
This 465-nucleotide ribosomal RNA is filed under the name Vreelandella stevensii. RNAcentral describes it as "partial 16S ribosomal RNA". It matches the Rfam family "Bacterial small subunit ribosomal RNA", at positions 338 to 795 of the family's 1533-position model. The record is from RNAcentral. Lineage: Bacteria; Pseudomonadati; Pseudomonadota; Gammaproteobacteria; Oceanospirillales; Halomonadaceae.